Molecule: ribosomal RNA, 521 nt
Filed under: uncultured Hanseniaspora
Lineage: Eukaryota; Fungi; Ascomycota; Saccharomycetes; Saccharomycodales; Saccharomycodaceae
Description: eukaryotic LSU rRNA
Rfam family: Eukaryotic large subunit ribosomal RNA
Source: RNAcentral
AAACCAACUGGGAUUACCUUAGUAACGGCGAGUGAAGCGGUAAAAGCUCAAAUUUGAAAUCUGGUACUUUCAGUGCCCGAGUUGUAAUUUGUAGAAUUUGUCUUUGAUUAGGUCCUUGUCUAUGUUCCUUGGAACAGGACGUCAUAGAGGGUGAGAAUCCCGUUUGGCGAGGAUACCUUUUCUCUGUAAGACUUUUUCGAAGAGUCGAGUUGUUUGGGAAUGCAGCUCAAAGUGGGUGGUAAAUUCCAUCUAAAGCUAAAUAUUGGCGAGAGACCGAUAGCGAACAAGUACAGUGAUGGAAAGAUGAAAAGAACUUUGAAAAGAGAGUGAAAAAGUACGUGAAAUUGUUGAAAGGGAAGGGCAUUUGAUCAGACAUGGUGUUUUUGCAUGCACUCGCCUCUCGUGGGCUUGGGCCUCUCAAAAUUUCACUGGGCCAACAUCAAUUCUGGCAGCAGGAUAAAUCAUUAAGAAUGUAGCUACCUCGGUAGUGUUAUAGCUUUUUGGAAUACUGUUAGCCGGGU